CCACCCUCACGCGCCGCGUGGUGUUGGGGCUCUCUCCGCAGCGAGAGGCCCCGAAAGCGAGUGGCGGACCGCCUGGUUUGGCUCCGAGCGCAGUAACUUACUCUCGCUCUGGACGGCCAGCGGCCCUGCCGUGAAACCGUGCCGCUCGCAAGAGCGCACACCCCACCAAAGG
This 172-nucleotide unclassified non-coding RNA is filed under the name uncultured Sporothrix. RNAcentral's name for it is "sequence contains ITS2". Lineage: Eukaryota; Fungi; Ascomycota; Sordariomycetes; Ophiostomatales; Ophiostomataceae. The record is from RNAcentral.